Molecule: small nucleolar RNA, 123 nt
Filed under: Sorex araneus (European shrew)
Lineage: Eukaryota; Metazoa; Chordata; Mammalia; Eulipotyphla; Soricidae
Source: RNAcentral
AUAUAAUAUUGCAUCGCUAAUAAUACAGAAGUGAGGGUUACCAGGUUUAUUGAAGUAACUGCAGUGAUAGAAAUGGAUUAACUUCAGACUGCACUGAGGUGUCUAUUCUCCCCUAUUAUAGGG